This 208-nucleotide non-coding RNA is filed under the name Rhodopseudomonas palustris. Lineage: Bacteria; Pseudomonadati; Pseudomonadota; Alphaproteobacteria; Hyphomicrobiales; Nitrobacteraceae. The record is from RNAcentral. RNAcentral also lists the same sequence under 1 other name.
CUGUUGUCGCGCAUCUUCGGUGCCCUUCGUCGGAAGGGUGAAACGGGAAUGCGGUGAGGCGAGUGAUCGCCCAAUCCGCGGCUGCCCCCGCAACUGUAAGCGGAUUGUCUUCGGUCACAUGCGCCACUGAGUUCGGCACCAGCCGCUCGGGAAGGCGAUCAGGACAACAUCCGCAAGCCAGGAGACCGGCCGAAGACCGUAGCAACGC